This 255-nucleotide unclassified non-coding RNA is filed under the name Hevea brasiliensis (rubber tree). Lineage: Eukaryota; Viridiplantae; Streptophyta; Magnoliopsida; Malpighiales; Euphorbiaceae. The record is from RNAcentral.
UGCUACUGAAAAGUGGGGGCGGAAUGUAUUUGAAUAUCCGCAACCUACAUUCCAGAAAUUAAUGAAAGAGCACUGCAUGGAGCCUUUUUUUGUAUUUCAGGUCUUCUGUGUAGGACUCUGGUGUUUGGAUGAGUAUUGGUAUUACAGUUUGUUCACUUUGUUCAUGCUGUUUAUGUUUGAGUCAACAAUGGCAAAAAGUAGGUUGAAGACUCUAAGUGAGUUAAGGCGUGUUAGAGUUGAUAGCCAGAUCCUUAU